AACGAACGCUGGCGGCGUGCUUAACACAUGCAAGUCGAACGAGAAAGUUCCUUCGGGGACGAUUAGAGUGGCGCACGGGUGAGUAAUACAUAGGAACGUACCAUUCGGUGGGGAAUAACCACGGGAAACUGUGGCUAAUACCGCAUAAUAUCGCAAGAUUAAAGGGGGCCUCUGCAUAUGCUCUCGCCGAUUGAUCGGCCUAUGUCCCAUUAGCUUGUUGGUAGGGUAAUGGCCUACCAAGGCAGUGAUGGGUAGCUGGUCUGAGAGGAUGAUCAGCCACACUGGGACUGAGACACGGCCCAGACUCCUACGGGAGGCAGCAGUGGGGAAUCUUGCACAAUGGGCGAAAGCCUGAUGCAGCAACGCCGCGUGAGUGAAGAAGGCCCUUGGGUUGUAAAGCUCUUUUCGACUAGGAAGAAGGGUGCCGUGGUUAAUACCCGCAGCAUUUGACGGUACUAGCAGAAGAAGCACCGGCUAAUUCCGU
RNAcentral lists this ribosomal RNA (484 nucleotides) under uncultured bacterium. RNAcentral describes it as "bacterial SSU rRNA". It matches the Rfam family "Bacterial small subunit ribosomal RNA", at positions 29 to 506 of the family's 1533-position model. The record is from RNAcentral.